AGUGGCAAACGGGUGAGUAAUGCGUGGAAAUCUGCCCAUUAGUACGGAAUAACAUAUGUAAUGUGUGCUAAUACCGUAUAUUCUCGAGAGAGGAAAGAUUUAUCGCUAAUGGAUGAGUCCACGUCAGAUUAGUUAGUUGGUGAGGUAAUGGCUCACCAAGACUAUGAUCUGUAGCUGGUCUGAGAGGACGAUCAGCCACACUGGAACUGAGACACGGUCCAGACUCCUACGGGAGGCAGCAGUAGGGAAUAUUGGACAAUGGGCGAAAGCCUGAUCCAGCAAUGUCGCGUGAGUGAAGAAGGUCUUAGGAUCGUAAAGCUCUUUCAGUGAGGAGGAUGAUGACUGUACUCACACAAGAAGCUCCGGCUAACUUCGUGCCAGCAGCCGCGGUAAUACGGAGGGAGCAAGCGU
This 411-nucleotide ribosomal RNA is filed under the name uncultured bacterium. Its description in RNAcentral is "bacterial SSU rRNA". It matches the Rfam family "Bacterial small subunit ribosomal RNA", at positions 94 to 541 of the family's 1533-position model. The record is from RNAcentral.